GAGAGUUGAUUAUGGCUCAGAACGAACGCUAGCAGCGUGGAUUAGGCAUGCAAGUCGAACGGGAUCCGGAAGGUAGCAAUAUCGGCCGGUGAGAGUGGCGGAAGGGCGAGGAACACGUGGGCAACCUGUCUCUGAGGUGGGGAAAACCGUUGGAAACGACGGCUAAUACCGAAUGUAGCGCCCGCUCGCAUGAGCGGAGCGCCAAAGGGGGCGAAAGCUCCCCCUCUCCGAGGGGCCCGCGCACCAUCAGCUUGUUGGCGGGGUAACGGCCCACUAAGGCUCACGGUUAGCUGGUCUGAGAGGAUGGCCAGCCGCACUGGGACUGAGAUACUGCCCAGACUCCUACGGGAGGCUGCAGUCGAGGAUCAUUUGCAAUGGGCGAAAGCCUGACAAUGCGACGCUGCGUGGAGGAUGAAGGCCCUCGGGUUGUAAACUCCUGUCAUGGGGGAAAAGGAAAAGGGACCCAACACGUCCCCGAUUUGAUGGUACCCCAAGAGGAAGCGACGGCUAACUCUGUGCCAGCAGCGGC
Molecule: ribosomal RNA, 529 nt
Filed under: uncultured bacterium
Lineage: Bacteria
Description: bacterial SSU rRNA
Rfam family: Bacterial small subunit ribosomal RNA
Source: RNAcentral